GACGAACGCUGGCGGCGUGCUUAACACAUGCAAGUCGAACGGAAAGGCCCUGCUUUUGUGGGGUGCUCGAGUGGCGAACGGGUGAGUAACACGUGAGUAACCUGCCCUUGACUUUGGGAUAACUUCAGGAAACUGGGGCUAAUACCGGAUAGGAGCUCCUGCUGCAUGGUGGGGGUUGGAAAGUUUCGGCGGUUGGGGAUGGACUCGCGGCUUAUCAGCUUGUUGGUGGGGUAGUGGCUUACCAAGGCUUUGACGGGUAGCCGGCCUGAGAGGGUGACCGGCCACAUUGGGACUGAGAUACGGCCCAGACUCCUACGGGAGGCAGCAGUGGGGAAUAUUGCACAAUUGGCGGAAGCCUGAUGCAGCAACGCCGCGUGCGGGAUGACGGCCUUCGGGUUGUAAACCGCUUUCGCCUGUGACGAAGCGUGAGUGACGGUAAUGGGUAAAGAAUCACCGGCUAACUACGUG
RNAcentral lists this ribosomal RNA (468 nucleotides) under uncultured bacterium. RNAcentral's name for it is "partial 16S ribosomal RNA". It matches the Rfam family "Bacterial small subunit ribosomal RNA", at positions 28 to 507 of the family's 1533-position model. The record is from RNAcentral.